Molecule: ribosomal RNA, 497 nt
Filed under: uncultured bacterium
Lineage: Bacteria
Description: partial 16S ribosomal RNA
Rfam family: Bacterial small subunit ribosomal RNA
Source: RNAcentral
GAUGAACGCUGGCGGCGUGCCUAACACAUGCAAGUCGAACGGACAGACGAUGCUCUUGCUCGUUUCUCGUAAGCGGAGCGGGUGGGUGUAACAUGUGUAUACCCCACCUUUAUGACGGGUAAAAACUCGUGAAACCGGCGCUUAUACCGGAUAAGCUCCUGAAGCGCAUGGGGGGAUAGUUAAAGACGGCUUUUCGGGCACUUCUCGCGGCUUCCAGGCCGCAUUAGGUAGUUGUUACGGUAACGGCUUAUCAAGGCGACUAUGCGUAGCCGAGCUGAGAGGGUGAUCGGCCACACUGGAACUGAGACACGGUCCAGACUCCUACGGGAGGCAGCAGUAGGGAAUGUGGCGCAAUGGGCGAAAGCCUGACGGAGCAACGCCGCGUGUGUGAUGAAGGUCUUGGGAUCGUAAAGCUCUGUUAGGGGGGAAGAACAGAUGUGGAAUUAGACAUGGACUUAUUGACGGUAACUGAUAAAGAAGCACCGGCUAACUACGUG